GGUGGGUAGUCCGCACGAGCGCACCCUAUUCUUAGUUGCCAGCAUGUAAUGAUGGGGACUCUAAGGAGACUGCCUGCGCAAGCAGAGAGGAAGGAGGGGAUGACGUCAAAUCAUCAUGGCCCUUACGCCCAGGGCUACACACGUGCUACAAUGGCGCAUACAGAGGGUCGCGACACGGUAACGUGAAGCCAAUCUCAAAAAGUGCGUCUCAGUUCGGAUUGAGGUCUGCAACUCGACCUCAUGAAGCUGGAAUCGCUAGUAAUCGCGCAUCAGCAAUGGCGCGGUGAAUACGUUCCCGGACCUUGUACACACCGCCCGUCAAGCCAUGGGAGUUGGGUAUGCCUGAAGAUGGUUGCCGCAAGGCGCUGUUUAAGGCAGAACUAGCGACUGGGGCUAAGUCGUAACAAGGUAGCCGUACCGGAAGGUGCGGCUGGAACACCUCCUUUCU
Molecule: ribosomal RNA, 448 nt
Filed under: uncultured bacterium
Lineage: Bacteria
Description: bacterial SSU rRNA
Rfam family: Bacterial small subunit ribosomal RNA
Source: RNAcentral